UUGUGGUCUGUAUCUGUGCAGUGCCUGUGCCAUUGGGCUUUGGGCUCAUCCAUGCAGUCGUCGCUUCAGAGGCUAACAGGCAGCAGUGGCUCCAAGCCCUGUUGUAGACAAUCCGCUGUCAAGACUUGGAUGUUAAUUAAUUUUAAUGAACCUUGGAACAUGCAGUACGCAUGGAAAUGCUGCUUUUGAAAACAGUAUGUUGCAAAGUAAACAACAGAAUGAGUUAAUGGCAGGACUGAGAAUACAGCCUCCACCUUGGCUGCUGAUCUCAUGGGUCCUGAGACUGGGAGCCACCUACCUUAGCCUGAACUUCCCUGGCAGCAGGACAUCUCCUCUCAGAAGCUUCCAGGACUGCAGAGCAGGUAGCUGUUACAGCAAGCGUAACCUCUGGGGAAGGAGCAAAGUUAAACCCAAGCCUGUGGUGGAGGCAACUUCAUAACAACUAUCAGAAGGUCGCACAAUAGGCAUUUUUUGCGCAUAUUCUGAUGUUUAACAGACUGCUUGGGAUGGUGUGGGAAGGCACUUCAUAUUCUGUGGUAGUCAAGGCAUUGGGCUGGGGAAAAGAGGGGGAGAAGAUUUCUAUCCCAGCAGCUCAGGCACCUGACAGUGAGGAAAAAGCUUCAGAUCAUAUAAGCUGCAGAGGUACUCUUCACCAGCAGUUUUCUCCCUACAGUCAGGAAAAGACAAAACUUAUCAGUGGUGAUUAUGGGGAAAAAUAGCUUACGUAAAUAUGCGUACUAAAAAUAUUUUCUAUAUUUUUCUAGAAGCGCAUCUUUAUAUCCUUUUUAUGUGGAGCACGAGUACGUUAGUACUGAGGAAUGACUGGCUUCAGUAGCAGGUUCUACUGCACAGCAAAAGGCUGUGGCUGCACAGCAGUGAGCCUCUAGCCCAGAAGGGGAAUUGCACAUCAGCUUUGGAUGCUAAUAAGGGCAUGACCUUCUUGCCUAAGGAGAGGAAGAUUGCCCAGGGGAUGCUGUUCCCUGCUGGAUGCUUUACAUCUUGCCAGUCACCGUGUGCAGUUUUGUCCCUCCUUUGCAAUCAGCAGCGCUUCUGUUGUUUCUCCAGCACCAGCUCCAGGAGCAGCAGGUCUGGCUGGAUAUGAAUGAAGUUCUGGGUGAAUGAUGGGGAAAGGAUUUGCAGGCAAAGCAGUCAAGAAAAAUAGCAGCCACUCCAAAGAAAGCAUGGGAUACAAGUGAGAUUAUCAAAGUGAACCUUCAGGUGUCUGAGAGAAGGGGAUGUGGGUGGUGAACCCUGUGUACUUGUAUGGUGAAUGCUGGCAUUCUCAGUAACUGGAGAAAUGCAAGUGGGCUUCAGUAUGUCUGGGCAGGUUUUUCAGUCCUGGUGAAAUGUAAUUAUCACUGUUAAAUGAGUUUUGAAGGCUCAGAGGCUGAACUUGGAUGAAGCGAUCUGGAGAAGCACUGGUGGAAUCAAUGUAUUUA
This 1439-nucleotide long non-coding RNA is filed under the name Numida meleagris (helmeted guineafowl). RNAcentral's name for it is "lncRNA (ENSNMEG00000018854.1)". Lineage: Eukaryota; Metazoa; Chordata; Aves; Galliformes; Numididae. The record is from RNAcentral.